RNAcentral lists this long non-coding RNA (201 nucleotides) under Mytilus galloprovincialis (Mediterranean mussel). The record is from RNAcentral. Lineage: Eukaryota; Metazoa; Mollusca; Bivalvia; Mytilida; Mytilidae.
AGGUUUAUGACCAUAAAAGGAAGGUUGGGAUUGAUUUUGGGAGUUUUGGUCCAAACAGUUUAGGAAUUAGGGGCCAAAAAGGGCCCAAAUAAGCAUUUUUCUUGGUUUUCUCACAAUAACUUUAGUAUAAGUAAACAGAAAUCUAUGAAAUUUUAAAAUAAGGUUUAUGACUACAAAAGGAAGAUUGGGAUUGAUUUGGGG